AACGAGCGCUGGCGGCAUGCCUAACACAUGCAAGUCGAACGAGACCUUCGGGUCUAGUGGCGCACGGGUGCGUAACGCGUGGGAACCUGCCCUUAGGUUCGGAAUAACUCCCCGAAAGGGGUGCUAAUACCGGAUAAUGUCUUCGGACCAAAGAUUUAUCGCCUUUGGAUGGGCCCGCGUUGGAUUAGCUAGUUGGUAGGGUAAAAGACUACCAAGGCGACGAUCCAUAGCUGGUCUGAGAGGAUGAUCAGCCACACUGGGACUGAGACACGGCCCAGACUCCUACGGGAGGCAGCAGUGGGGAAUAUUGGACAAUGGGCGAAAGCCUGAUCCAGCAAGGCCGCGUGAGUGAUGAAGUCCUUAGGGUUGUAAAGCUCUUUUACCCGGGAUGAUAAUGACAGUACCGGGAGAAUAAGCUCCGGCUAACUCCGUG
This 433-nucleotide ribosomal RNA is filed under the name uncultured bacterium. Its description in RNAcentral is "partial 16S ribosomal RNA". It matches the Rfam family "Bacterial small subunit ribosomal RNA", at positions 29 to 507 of the family's 1533-position model. The record is from RNAcentral.